Molecule: ribosomal RNA, 382 nt
Filed under: uncultured euryarchaeote
Lineage: Archaea; Methanobacteriati; Methanobacteriota
Description: bacterial SSU rRNA
Rfam family: Archaeal small subunit ribosomal RNA
Source: RNAcentral
UAAUACCAGCAGUUCAAGUCGCAUCCCUUUUUAUUGGGUCUAAAACAUCCGUAGCGUGCCGUAUAAGUCCCUUGUGAAAUCUCGUGUCUCAAGCACGAGGCUGGCAAGAGAUACUGUACGGCUAGAGAUCGGUAGACGUAAGAGGUACGCCGGAGGUAACGGUAAAAUGUGUUAAUCUUUGGUGGACCAACAAUGAGCGAAGGCAUCUUACGAGGACGAAUCUGACAGUCAGGGAUGAAGGCCAGGGGCGCAAAACGGAUUAGAUACCCGUGUAGUCCUGGCAGUAAACACUGUUCACUAAACAUCGGGCCCUCUUCGGGAGGAUUCGGUGCUGAAGCGAAGGCGAAGAGUGAACUACCUGGGAAGUAUAGUCGCAAGAUCG